AUGUGGGAAUCGAAGUCUUACUCUGACCAAAAAAUCCUUCACACCCACCUGCUUUACAAGGGUUUCAUGCCACACUAUAAUGUUUGGACGAGGCACGGAGAAAUAGGGGUUAAGAUGGAAGACGGCGAAGAAGAAGAGGACGAUGACAACAAUGUGCCCCCUGAAUACGGUGAUGCUGCAACGGGGGAAGCUGCUGAAGAUCAAGAGGAACCAGACGAUGUGCCCAAUGAUGCUGCAAUGGGGGAAGCUGCUGAAGAUCAAGAGGAACCAGUGCCCGAUGAUGAUGAUCUCCGCCGGGUCAUUGUCAAUGCAAGGACGCAAUGUGAAAGUCAAAAGGAGAAGCUAAAGUUCGAUCGCAUGUUAGAGGAUCACAAAAAAGGGUUGUACCCCAAUUGCGAAGAUGGCAACACAAAGCUCGGUACCGUACUGGAAUUGCUGCAGUGGAAGGCAGAGAAUGCUGUGCCUGACAAAGGAUUUGAGAAGCUACUGAAAAUAUUGAAGAAGAAGCUUCCAAAGGAUAACGAAUUGCCCGACAGUACAUACGCAGCAAAGAAGGUCGUAUGCCCUCUAGGAUUGGAGGUGCAGAAGAUACAUGCAUGCCCUAAUGACUGCAUCCUCUACCGCGGUGCGUACAAGGAUCUGAACGCAUGCCCGGUAUGCGGUGCAUUGCGGUAUAAGAUCAGACGAGAUGACCCUCGUGAUCUUCACGGCGAGCCCCCCAGGAAGAGGGUUCCUGCGAAGGUGAUGUGGUAUGCUCCUAUAAUACCACGGUUGAAACGUCUGUUUAGAAACGAACAGCAUGCCAAGUUGAUGCGAUGGCACAGUGAGGACCGUAAGAAAGACGGGAAGUUGAGAGCACCCGCUGACGGGUCGCAGUGGAGAAAAAUCGAGAGAAAGUACUGGACUGAGUUUGCAGGUGACCCAAGGAAUGUAUGGUUUGGUUUAAGCGUGGAUGGCAGUAAUCCUUUCGGGGAGCAGAGCAGCAAUCACAGCACCUGGCCCGUGACUCUAUGUAUGUAUAAGCUUCCUCCUUGGAUGUGCAUGAAGCGGAAGUUCAUUAUGAUGCCAGUUCUCAUCCAAGGCCCUAAGCAACCCGGCAACGACAUUGAUAUGUACCUAAGGCCAUUAGUUGAAGAACUUUUACAGCCGUGGAAUGGAAAUGGUGUACAUACGUGGGAUGAGCACAAGCAGGAGGAAUUUAACCUGCACGCGUUGCUGUUUGUAACCAUCAACGAUUGGCCCACUCUCAGUAACCUUUCAGGACAGACAAACAAGGGAUACCACGCAUGCACGCACUGUUUAGAUGACACUGAAAGUAAAUACCUGGACAAAUGCAGGAAGAUCGUGUACCUGGGCCAUCGUCGAUUUCUUCCGACCAACCAUCAAUGUCGAAAGAAAGGCAAGCAUUUCAAAGGCGAGGCAGAUCACCGGAAGAAGCCCGCCAUGCGUACCGGUGAUCACGUACUUGCUAUGGUCAAUCAUUUACACGUAAUCUUUGGAAAGGGUCCCGGCGGACUAGCUGUUCCGAAUGACGCUGAGGGACACGCACCCAUGUGGAAGAAGAAAUCUAUAUUUUGGGACCUACCCUACUGGAAAGACCUAGAGGUCCGCUCUUCAAUCGACGUGAUGCACGUGACGAAGAACCUUUGCGUGAACCUGCUAGGCUUCUUGGGCGUGUAUGGGAAGACAAAAGAUACACCUGAGGCACGGGAGGACCUGCAACGUUUGCACGAAAAAGACGGCAUGCCUCCGAAGCAGUAUGAAGGUCCUGCAAGCUACGCUCUUACGAAAGAAGAGAAAGAAAUCUUCUUUGAAUGCCUUCUUAGUAUGAAGGUCCCGACUGGCUUCUCGUCGAAUAUAAAGGGAAUAAUAAAUAUGCCAGAGAAAAAGUUCCAGAACCUAAAGUCUCAUGACUGCCACGUGAUUAUGACGCAACUGCUUCCGGUUGCAUUGAGGGGGCUUCUACCGGAAAAUGUCCGAUUAGCCAUUGUGAAGCUAUGUCCAUUCCUCAAUGUAAUCUCUCAGAAGGUGAUCGAUCCAGAAAUCAUACCAAGGCUAAGGAGUGAUGUGGCGCAAUGUCUUGUCAGUUUCAAGCUGGUGUUCUCACCAUCCUUCUACAAUAUCAUGACGCACGUCCUAGUUCAUCUAGUCGACGAGAUUGUCAUUCUGGGGCCCGUAUUUCUACACAAUAUGUUCCCCUUUGAGAGGUUCAUGGGAGUCCUAAAGAAAUAUCUCCGUAACCGCGCUAGGCCAGAAGGAAGCAUCUCCAUGGGCCAUCAAACAGAGGAUGUCAUUGGGUUUUGUGUUGACUUCAUUCCUGGCCUUACGAAGAUAGGUCUCCCUAAAUCGCGGUAUGAGGGGAGACUGACUGGAAAAGGCACGCUAGGAGCGGACUCAAUAAUGCAGGGAUGGGCAUUCUUGGUCUCAAGCACACUACACAGUUCUACAGAACUCUACCUUGGUGACCCCGUAUGUCGAUGA
Molecule: ribosomal RNA, 2481 nt
Filed under: Triticum aestivum (bread wheat)
Lineage: Eukaryota; Viridiplantae; Streptophyta; Magnoliopsida; Poales; Poaceae
Description: partial small subunit ribosomal RNA
Source: RNAcentral